This 496-nucleotide ribosomal RNA is filed under the name uncultured bacterium. Its description in RNAcentral is "partial 16S ribosomal RNA". It matches the Rfam family "Bacterial small subunit ribosomal RNA", at positions 29 to 507 of the family's 1533-position model. The record is from RNAcentral.
AUGCACGCUGGCGGCGUGCCUCAUCCCUGCCAGUCGAGCGCACAGACGAGGAGCUUGCUCCUCUGACGUUAGCGGCGGACGGGUGAGUAACACGUGGAUAACCUACCUAUAAGACUGGGAUAACUUCGGGAAACCGGAGCUAAUACCGGAUAAUAUAUUGAACCGCAUGGUUCAAUAGUGAAAGACGGUUUUGCUGUCACUUAUAGAUGGAUCCGCGCCGCAUUAGCUAGUUGGUAAGGUAACGGCUUACCAAGGCAACGAUGCGUAGCCGACCUGAGAGGGUGAUCGGCCACACUGGAACUGAGACACGGUCCGGACUCCUACGGGAGGCAGCAGUAGGGAAUCUUCCGCAAUGGGCGAAAGCCUGACGGAGCAACGCCGCGUGAGUGAUGAAGGUCUUCGGAUCGUAAAACUCUGUUAUUAGGGAAGAACAAAUGUGUAAGUAACUAUGCACGUCUUGACGGUACCUAAUCAGAAAGCCACGGCUAACUACGUG